This 1343-nucleotide ribosomal RNA is filed under the name uncultured bacterium. RNAcentral's name for it is "16S ribosomal RNA". It matches the Rfam family "Bacterial small subunit ribosomal RNA", at positions 28 to 1378 of the family's 1533-position model. The record is from RNAcentral.
GACGAACGCUGGCGGCGUGCUUAACACAUGCAAGUCGAACGGAAAGGCCCUGCUUUUGUGGGGUGCUCGAGUGGCGAACGGGUGAGUAACACGUGAGUAACCUGCCCUUGACUUUGGGAUAACUUCAGGAAACUGGGGCUAAUACCGGAUAGGAGCUCCUGCUGCAUGGUGGGGGUUGGAAAGUUUCGGCGGUUGGGGAUGGACUCGCGGCUUAUCAGCUUGUUGGUGGGGUAGUGGCUUACCAAGGCUUUGACGGGUAGCCGGCCUGAGAGGGUGACCGGCCACAUUGGGACUGAGACACGGCCCAGACUCCUACGGGAGGCAGCAGUGGGGAAUAUUGCACAAUGGGCGGAAGCCUGAUGCAGCAACGCCGCGUGCGGGAUGACGGCCUUCGGGUUGUAAACCGCUUUCGCCUGUGACGAGGCGUGAGUGACGGUAAUGGGUAAAGAAGUACCGGCUAACUACGUGCCAGCAGCCGCGGUGAUACGUAGGGUGCGAGCGUUGUCCGGAUUUAUUGGGCGUAAAGGGCUCGUAGGUGGUUGAUCGCGUCGGAAGUGUAAUCUUGGGGCUUAACCCUGAGCGUGCUUUCGAUACGGGUUGACUUGAGGAAGGUAGGGGAGAAUGGAAUUCCUGGUGGAGCGGUGGAAUGCGCAGAUAUCAGGAGGAACACCAGUGGCGAAGGCGGUUCUCUGGGCCUUUCCUGACGCUGAGGAGCGAAAGCGUGGGGAGCGAACAGGCUUAGAUACCCUGGUAGUCCACGCUGUAAACGGUGGGUACUAGGUGUGGGGUCCAUUCCACGGGUUCCGUGCCGUAGCUAACGCUUUAAGUACCCCGCCUGGGGAGUACGGCCGCAAGGCUAAAACUCAAAGGAAUUGACGGGGCCCCGCACAAGCGGCGGAGCAUGCGGAUUAAUUCGAUGCAACGCGUAGAACCUUACCUGGGUUUGACAUGGAUCGGGAGUGCUCAGAGAUGGGUGUGCCUCUUUUGGGGUCGGUUCACAGGUGGUGCAUGGCUGUCGUCAGCUCGUGUCGUGAGAUGUUGGGUUAAGUCCCGCAACGAGCGCAACCCUUGUUCACUGUUGCCAGCACGUUAUGGUGGGGACUCAGUGGAGACCGCCGGGGUCAACUCGGAGGAAGGUGGGGAUGACGUCAAGUCAUCAUGCCCCUUAUGUCCAGGGCUUCACGCAUGCUACAAUGGCUGGUACAGAGAGUGGCGAGCCUGUGAGGGUGAGCGAAUCUCGGAAAGCCGGUCUCAGUUCGGAUUGGGGUCUGCAACUCGACCUCAUGAAGUCGGAGUCGCUAGUAAUCGCAGAUCAGCAACGCUGCGGUGAAUACGUUCCCGGG